ACGAACGCUGGCGGCGUGCUUCACCCCUGCCAGUCGCACGGAAAGGCCCUGCUUUUGUGGGGUGCUCGAGUGGCGAACGGGUGAGUAACACGUGAGUAACCUGCCCUUGACUUUGGGAUAACUUCAGGAAACUGGGGCUAAUACCGGAUAGGAGCUCCUGCUGCAUUGUGGGGGUUGGAAAGUUUCGGCGGUUGGGGAUGGACUCGCGGCUUAUCAGCUUGUUGGUGGGGUAGUGGCUUACCAAGGCUUUGACGGGUAGCCGGCCUGAGAGGGUGACCGGCCACAUUGGGACUGAGAUACGGCCCAGACUCCUACGGGAGGCAGCAGUGGGGAAUAUUGCACAAUGGGCGGAAGCCUGAUGCAGCAACGCCGCGUGCGGGAUGACGGCCUUCGGGUUGUAAACCGCUUUCGCCUGUGACGAAGCGUGAGUGACGGUAAUGGGGAAAGAAGCACCGGCUAACUACGU
RNAcentral lists this ribosomal RNA (466 nucleotides) under uncultured bacterium. RNAcentral's name for it is "partial 16S ribosomal RNA". It matches the Rfam family "Bacterial small subunit ribosomal RNA", at positions 29 to 506 of the family's 1533-position model. The record is from RNAcentral.